CCCCCUUUACCGCUAACGUCAAUGCUUCCGCCAUCCAUCAUUGGAUUCGAAAUAUCCUCUCGAUCAUCCCUAUUCUGCCCUCCACUAUCAGAAGUCGACGACAGAGCCAGCAGUGGAGGCUGGUGCUGCUAUUGCUGCAUGACAUAUCGAAUCCAGAUCUGAAGAGAGGAAAGGGUAGAAGAUAGGAUUAGGCUUCUUACGGUUACUUUGGGGCAUUCGAGGGUGAUAGGGUGGAAUUUGGUGGCGAAGCUAUCGGCAAGGAGGACAGCCUGGAGUGGGAUGCGAGCUGCUCCGGAUCGUCGGAGGAUAAAGACCAAUGCCCUUUCUACUGCGCAAUGGCUGCCGUCACUGUCGUCGACGGAGGGAGUAAAAGAAGAAAAAGGAGGAGGAAAGAGAGAUGGAGAGUUGGGUUUGGGCCCGGGCUGGGCCAAAGGUCUGCUCGAGCCUAGUCCAAAAAUAAAAUGGACCAUGUUCUUUUGGCCCGAGCUCGACCUGAAUGGCUUCAGACCGAGCCCGAAGCUA
This 522-nucleotide long non-coding RNA is filed under the name Elaeis guineensis (African oil palm). Its description in RNAcentral is "long non-coding RNA (EGUI_LNC020851)". Lineage: Eukaryota; Viridiplantae; Streptophyta; Magnoliopsida; Arecales; Arecaceae. The record is from RNAcentral.